Molecule: ribosomal RNA, 253 nt
Filed under: uncultured bacterium
Lineage: Bacteria
Description: partial 16S ribosomal RNA
Rfam family: Bacterial small subunit ribosomal RNA
Source: RNAcentral
UACGUAGGGUGCGAGCGUUGUCCGGAAUUACUGGGCGUAAAGCGCACGUAGGCGGCUUUGCAAGUCAGAGGUGAAAGCCCGGGGCUCAACCCCGGAAUUGCCUUUGAGACUGCAUCGCUAGAAUUGUGGAGAGGUAAGUGGAAUUCCGAGUGUAGAGGUGAAAUUCGUAGAUAUUCGGAAGAACACCAGUGGCGAAGGCGACUUACUGGACACAUAUUGACGCUGAGGUGCGAAAGCGUGGGGAGCAAACAGG